This is a small nucleolar RNA of Cannabis sativa, 107 nucleotides long. Lineage: Eukaryota; Viridiplantae; Streptophyta; Magnoliopsida; Rosales; Cannabaceae. The record is from RefSeq and is a predicted model, not a curated record.
AUUUGGUGGUGAGGGCAACUAGCACACAACCUUUUAAAUCUUUCCCAAUAUUCAUAAAGUGACUCUCCAGUAAUUUGUUGAAUUCCAGAGAUUUCUUUUCGGAUGCU